This 255-nucleotide ribosomal RNA is filed under the name uncultured bacterium. RNAcentral's name for it is "partial 16S ribosomal RNA". It matches the Rfam family "Bacterial small subunit ribosomal RNA", at positions 524 to 777 of the family's 1533-position model. The record is from RNAcentral.
UACGUAGGGUGCAGGCGUUAAUCGGAAUUACUGGGCGUAAAGCGUGCGCAGGCGGUCUGCUAAGAGAGAUGUGAAAUCCCCGGGCUUAACCUGGGAACUGCGUUUCUAACUGGCAGGCUUGAGUGUGGCAGAGGGGGGGUGGAAUUCCACGUGUAGCAGUGAAAUGCGUAGAUAUCUGGAGGAACACCGGUGGCGAAGGCGGCAUCCUGGACCGGUAUUGACGCUGAUGCGCGAAAGCCAGGGGAGCAAACGGGG